This 456-nucleotide ribosomal RNA is filed under the name uncultured bacterium. RNAcentral's name for it is "bacterial SSU rRNA". It matches the Rfam family "Bacterial small subunit ribosomal RNA", at positions 59 to 548 of the family's 1533-position model. The record is from RNAcentral.
CAGUCGAACGAGAAAGUGGAGCAAUCCAUGAGUACAGUGGCGUACGGGUGCCUUCACGUGACUGACCUACCCUCGAGUGGGGAAUAACUUCGCCUAACCGAGGCUAAUACCGCAUAAUGUCUACGGACCAAAUGCGCAAGCAGCUUGAGGAGGGGGUCGCGGCUGAUUAGCUUGUUGGCGGGGUAACGGCCCACCAAGGCAAUGAUCAGUAGCCGGCCUGAGAGGGCGCACGGCCACACUGGAACUGAAACACGGUCCAGACUCCUACGGGAGGCAGCAGUGGGGAAUUUUGCGCAAUGGGGGAAACCCUGACGCAGCAACGCCGCGUGGAGGAUGAAGCCCCUUGGGGUGUAAACUCCUUUCGAUCGGGACGAUUAUGACGGUACCGGAUGAAGAAGCACCGGCUAACUCUGUGCCAGCAGCCGCGGUAAUACAGAGGGUGCAAGCGUUGUUCGG